ACACUCCUGCGGGAGGCAGCAGUGGGGAAUAUUGGACAAUGGGCGCAAGCCUGAUCCAGCCAUGCCGCGUGAGUGAUGAAGGCCCUAGGGUUGUAAAGCUCUUUCACCGGUGAAGAUAAUGACGGUAACCGGAGAAGAAGCUCCGGCUAACUUCGUGCCAGCAGCCGCGGUAAUACGAAGGGGGCUAGCGUUGUUCGGAUUUACUGGGCGUAAAGCGCACGUAGGCGGACUAUUAAGUCAGGGGUGAAAUCCCGGGGCUCAACCCCGGAACUGCCUUUGAUACUGGUAGUCUUGAGUUCGAGAGAGGUGAGUGGAAUUCCGAGUGUAGAGGUGAAAUUCGUAGAUAUUCGGAGGAACACCAGUGGCGAAGGCGGCUCACUGGCUCGAUACUGACGCUGAGGUGCGAAAGCGUGGGGAGCAAACAGGAUUAGAUACCCCAGUAGUCCCAUG
RNAcentral lists this ribosomal RNA (450 nucleotides) under uncultured organism. RNAcentral's name for it is "partial 16S ribosomal RNA". It matches the Rfam family "Bacterial small subunit ribosomal RNA", at positions 333 to 799 of the family's 1533-position model. The record is from RNAcentral.